Molecule: ribosomal RNA, 440 nt
Filed under: uncultured bacterium
Lineage: Bacteria
Description: partial 16S ribosomal RNA
Rfam family: Bacterial small subunit ribosomal RNA
Source: RNAcentral
CCUACGGGAGGCAGCAGUGGGGAAUAUUGCACAAUGGGGGAAACCCUGAUGCAGCGACGCCGCGUGAGUGAGGAAGUAUUUCGGUAUGUAAAGCUCUAUCAGCAGGGAAGAAAAUGGCCGUUGCGUACCUACAAGUCCCGGGCAAAUACGUGCCAGCAGCCGCGGUAAUACGGAGGGGGGAAGCGUUAACCGGAUUUACUGGGUGUAAAGGGGGAGUAGACGGGAUAGCAAGGCGGAUGGGAAAACCCGGGGGUCAACCCCGGGAGUGCACUUGAAACUGUAGGUCUGGAGUGUCGGAGAGGCAGGCGGAAUGCCUGGUGUAGCGGUGAAAUGCGUAGAUAUUAGGAGGAACACCGGUGGCGAAGGCGGCUUGCUGGACGAUGACUGACGUUGAGGCUCGAAAGCGUGGGGAGCGAACAGGAUUAGAUACCCGAGUAGUC